CCUACGGGUGGCUGCAGUGGGGAAUAUUGGACAAUGGGCGAAAGCCUGAUCCAGCCAUGCCGCGUGUGUGAAGGAGGCCUUCGGGUUGUAAAGCACUUUCAGUGGGGAAGAAAGCCUUGGGGCUAAUACCCUCGAGGAAGGACAUCACCCACAGAAGAAGCACCGGCUAACUCCGUGCCAGCAGCCGCGGUAAUACGGAGGGUGCGGGCGUUAAUCGGAAUUACUGGGCGUAAAGCGCGCGUAGGCGGUCUGAUAAGCCGGUUGUGAAAGCCCCGGGCUCAACCUGGGAACGGCAUCCGGAACUGUCAGGCUAGAGUGCAGGAGAGGAAGGUAGAAUUCCCGGUGUAGCGGUGAAAUGCGUAGAGAUCGGGAGGAAUACCAGUGGCGAAGGCGGCCUUCUGGACUGACACUGACGCUGAGGUGCGAAAGCGUGGGUAGCAAACAGGAUUAGAUACCCCUGUAGUC
Molecule: ribosomal RNA, 465 nt
Filed under: Vreelandella stevensii
Lineage: Bacteria; Pseudomonadati; Pseudomonadota; Gammaproteobacteria; Oceanospirillales; Halomonadaceae
Description: partial 16S ribosomal RNA
Rfam family: Bacterial small subunit ribosomal RNA
Source: RNAcentral